Lycium ferocissimum is the source of this 1754-nucleotide RNA transcript. RefSeq lists it as uncharacterized. NCBI's taxonomy places the organism in Eukaryota, Viridiplantae, Streptophyta, Magnoliopsida, Solanales, Solanaceae. The transcript has 4 exons. The record is from RefSeq and is a predicted model, not a curated record.
AAAUUUGAGGGAAAAGCUAUCGCGGCAAAAUUUUCCCUCAUUUUCUCCUUUUACGGUUUUCCCCCAAAUCCUUCCCUCUUAUCUUCACACAACCUUUAGGUUUUAUCUUUUAGAAUCACCUUCCCAAUCCUAUCAACGUUUCAGUCCAGUGGCAGGAGCUUCGAAUUAGGUAUGAACGAGCAUUGGCCUUCUCCCAAACCAGAAUUAGGGUUUCAAAUUGUACAAUUUGCAUAUUUAAGUUGAGGAGAUUUUCAUAUCGAUUACGUGGAGUGCGUACUCUUAUUCAAAUUGCAUCACUCAUUAGGUCCUUUGGAGAUCAAUGUCUACUCUUUCACUUGUGACUGUCGUCUCUGCCAUAUUACGAUGAGCCUUUCAUUCAGUACAAAGUCAGGCUCAAAACAAGUGUAAGCCUCUUGUGUUAGAAUCUCAAUUUCAAACAAGUCUAGACUUUGGAUUUUUUAUUGCUUGAUAUAUCUUGCUUAAUAAUAUUCGGCUAAAAUAAACUUGUGCUACCUUGCAACUGGUACUUUCCAACAACUUAUUUGAAGAUAAGCUCAUAGUUAGUAUUUAGUUUAUUAGUUUUUUGAAUGUUAUAAAAUAGUUAUUUCCUUAGUUAUAUUUUAAGUUUCUAAGUUGCAUUAUGUUCAACAAGCUUAAAUUCUUGAUGGAAUUCUCAACAUGAUCACUAAUUCAAGGGUUGAAAGUUGAGGGAAGUCGUACUGGUAAAAUCAUAGCAAGAUGAUGAAGGUGAUUUGGAUCUUAUAUCUUACGUUUCUAUGGUGCUUAUUUUACUUGUGUCACUGUCAUCUCUCUCUUUCUCCAGUAUGUUUCUACUAUAUUAGAAGAGUGGGUUAUGAUUUGGGAUCGAUAUUUUAGGUUAAUGUCGUUUAAUUUCAAUUUGAGGGCAUUUUAGUCUUUUAACAUACCUAAAUGCAACUUGGCUUUUUUCGCUGAAACUAAAUAGACACGUAUCAGCUGGAUACUUUUAAUGCUUCUUGCUCAUUCUUUCGCAGUUUUUCAUCCUCAUCUCCUCUGAUUUUGCAACUCUCCAGUUAUACUGGUGAUUUUAGCAUUUAAUGAAAUAUAUAUUACAUGCCCAUUGGGCUAUAUUGACUGCUCUUGGUGCUUUGAAUUCAAAAAUGUUAUAGCUUAUGGGACUCUUUCAGCUUUUGGAACCUAUUAGGUGGUGAGAGUGGGCUAUUCAAAAGCUUAAAGUUGAUAUCUUUUAUUUAUGUGCUGAUGCUAAAUUUUGCUUGAUUAACAGGUGACGAUAUCCUUAACUAUUGAUAUUACUAUUGUAAAUUCUUGGAACUCGCAUGCUUCAGCUUUGGCUAAUUUAGGAGCCAAAUCAUCAAUAACCAAACUUCUAACCUGGAUCACGGAUCCAUUAAGGUAUCCUAAGAUUUGAUUGCUCCCAUCAAUUGGGAAGUGGCAGCCCUUCCGAAUUUGGACAAAAAUCUUUUUUCCUUGCUGGUGUGGUUAAUGCAAUAACUCAGGAGUUGUGUAGCAAUACUCUUGAGUGUGUUAUCAAUAGGUUGAAAAUGGCAGCUCAAAAUUUUCUUUCGCUCGAAACAAGUGGAAGGAGCUCACAAGAUAGGAGAGAGACGUUAUGAUUAAAUUACAUUGUAUUUUUCAAGAUAAUCACAUUUUUAUCACAGGACAUAUUAUUUUGUCAUUAAUUGAUUAUAUUUGUGAUAAAACAUAGUAUUUGUCCUAGAAUUGCCUUAUGAUUAAUAAUAUGAUUCAUUCUUUAA